This 610-nucleotide ribosomal RNA is filed under the name uncultured fungus. RNAcentral's name for it is "eukaryotic LSU rRNA". It matches the Rfam family "Eukaryotic large subunit ribosomal RNA", at positions 40 to 511 of the family's 3401-position model. The record is from RNAcentral. Lineage: Eukaryota; Fungi.
AUAUCAUUAAGCGGAGGAAAAGAAAAUAACAAUGAUUCCCCUAGUAACGGCGAGUGAAGCGGGAAGAGCUCAAGCUGAAAAUCCGGAAGCCUUGCGGUUUCCCGAAUUGUAGUCUAGAGACGUGCUGUCAGUGUGUGACCUGGGUAUAAGUCUUUUGGAACAAAGCAUCAUAGAGGGUGAGAAUCCCGUCUUUGACCCAGAGUACGCCACGUACGACACGCGUUCAACGAGUCGAGUUGGUCGGGACUCCAGCUCUAAAUGGGUGGUAAGAUUCAUCUAAAGCUAAAUAUAGGCGGGAGACCGAUAGCGAACAAGUACCGUGAGGGAAAGAUGAAAAGAACUUUGAAAAGAGAGUUAAAAAGUACUUGAAAUUGUUAAGAGGAAAGCGAUGGAAACCAGUCGUGCCUGGUGCAACUAAAGUCUUCGCCGGCGAAGAGGAGGCGGUUUGAGUGGUUAAACCUCUGCCGUUUUCUGGACGUUGUGUGGGGGUGGACGUUGUGUUGGGUGGGUCAGCAUCGAUUUGGCUUGCUUGGGAGAAAGCCGGGGGGGAGCUAACUUCGCCUUCGGGUGUCGUCGUAUAAACCCCUGGCUCUACUGGGUGCUGGAUCGA